UACGUAGGGUGCAGGCGUUAAUCGGAAUUACUGGGCGUAAAGCGUGCGCAGGCGGCUUCCUAAGUCAGAUGUGAAAUCCCCGGGCUCAACCUGGGAGCUGCGUUUGAAACUGGGAGGCUGGAGUGCGGCAGAGGGGGGUGGAAUUCCACGUGUAGCAGUGAAAUGCGUAGAGAUGUGGAGGAACACCGAUGGCGAAGGCAGCCCCCUGGGCCAAUACUGACGCUCAUGCACGAA
Molecule: ribosomal RNA, 234 nt
Filed under: uncultured prokaryote
Description: partial 16S ribosomal RNA
Rfam family: Bacterial small subunit ribosomal RNA
Source: RNAcentral